AUCUCGAUGGUGUAACGGAUCGCACAGGACUCUCCUAAAGUCCAAGUUUUGGUUCGAUUCCAGGUCGAGAUAC
RNAcentral lists this transfer RNA (73 nucleotides) under Adhaeretor mobilis. RNAcentral describes it as "Planctomycetes bacterium HG15A2 tRNA-Arg". It matches the Rfam family "tRNA". Rfam says of the family: Transfer RNA (tRNA) molecules are approximately 80 nucleotides in length. Their secondary structure includes four short double-helical elements and three loops (D, anti-codon, and T loops). The record is from RNAcentral. Lineage: Bacteria; Pseudomonadati; Planctomycetota; Planctomycetia; Pirellulales; Lacipirellulaceae.